UAGCUGCUUGCCACAACAGCAUGUUUUCCUGUGUUUAGGAACCAACUGGUGAACCAUCUCCUAAAAGACCAAGAGGAAGACCCAAGGGAAGCAAAAACAAGAGUCCCUCUAAAGCAGCUCAGAAGAAAGCAGAAGCCACUGGUGAAAAGCGACCCCGAGGGCGGCCCAGAAAAUGGCCUCAACAAGUGGUUCAAAAGAAGCCUGCUCAGGCCAGCUCACAGAAGAAAUGCAGCACCAGUCCCUGAGGACCCACCAUCUACAGCCUUCUGACUACAACACACAAUUCAAAACACACUGAGUUGUUCUAAUAAAAGAUAUUUCCUCUCCCUGGUCUCA
This 336-nucleotide long non-coding RNA is filed under the name Chrysolophus pictus (golden pheasant). RNAcentral's name for it is "lncRNA (ENSCPIG00010007169.1)". The record is from RNAcentral. Lineage: Eukaryota; Metazoa; Chordata; Aves; Galliformes; Phasianidae.